RNAcentral lists this ribosomal RNA (400 nucleotides) under Acanthamoeba polyphaga. Its description in RNAcentral is "SSU rRNA". It matches the Rfam family "Eukaryotic small subunit ribosomal RNA", at positions 755 to 1114 of the family's 1831-position model. The record is from RNAcentral. Lineage: Eukaryota; Discosea; Longamoebia; Acanthamoebidae.
CCGUGAAAAAAUUAGAGUGUUCAAAGCAGGCAGAUUCAAUUUUCUGCCACCGAAUACAUUAGCAUGGGAUAAUGGAAUAGGACCCUGUCCUCCUAUUUUCAGUUGGUUUUGGCAGCGCGAGGACUAGGGUAAUGAUUAAUAGGGAUAGUUGGGGGCAUUAAUAUUUAAUUGUCAGAGGUGAAAUUCUUGGAUUUAUGAAAGAUUAACUUCUGCGAAAGCAUCUGCCAAGGAUGUUUUCAUUAAUCAAGAACGAAAGUUAGGGGAUCGAAGACGAUCAGAUACCGUCGUAGUCUUAACCAUAAACGAUGCCGACCAGCGAUUAGGAGACGUUGAAUACAAAACACCACCAUCGGCGCGGUCGUCCUUGGCGUUCGUGUUCACGCACGAGCGCGAGGGCGGC